GAUGAAGAACGCAGCGAAAUGCGAUAAGUAAUGUGAAUUGCAGAAUUCAGUGAAUCAUCGAAUCUUUGAACGCACAUUGCGCCCGCCAGUAUUCUGGCGGGCAUGCCUGUUCGAGCGUCAUUUCAACCAUCAAGCCCCAGGCUUGUGUUGGGGACCUGCUGCACUGGCAGCCCUUAAAAUCAGUGGCGGCGCCAUCUGGCUCUAAGCGUAGUAAUUCUUCUCGCUAUGGAGUCCUGGUGGAUGCUUGCCAUCAACCCCCAAUUUUUCUAUGGUUGACCUCGGAUCAGGUAGGGAUACCCGCUGAACUUAAGCAUAUCAAUAAGCGGAGGA
Molecule: unclassified non-coding RNA, 330 nt
Filed under: soil metagenome
Description: partial contains 5.8S ribosomal RNA, internal transcribed spacer 2, and large subunit ribosomal RNA
Rfam family: 5.8S ribosomal RNA (bases 1-120)
Source: RNAcentral